AUCUCUGCUGCUUCAGUUUCUGGCUCAUGUGAGGCCUGAGAAAGCAGAGUCUCUUUCUCAAGCUCUGGGUGAUGAGCUCGACCUCAGUCAGACUCAGCUGAACUCGCAGGUCUGUGAAGCUCUGAAGCUGAUUCUGGAAUAUUCUGAAGGACUGACAGAACUGGAUCUGAGUCAGUGCCGUCUCACCGAUGACAGUCUGGAUCUGCUGCUCCCAAACCUCCACAAAGCACAGAACAUUGAUUUUAGUGGCAAUAGCAUCACUGACCUUGGGGCUCUGAGAAUCUACAGUAUCAUCACUCACAACAGUAAACAUAAAGACAGUAAGGCUCUUCAACAACAGAAUUGAAUCCAGAGAGCUCUUCAGCACAGACCCC
Cyprinus carpio (common carp) is the source of this 374-nucleotide long non-coding RNA. RefSeq lists it as uncharacterized. The transcript has 3 exons. The record is from RefSeq and is a predicted model, not a curated record. Lineage: Eukaryota; Metazoa; Chordata; Actinopteri; Cypriniformes; Cyprinidae.